RNAcentral lists this long non-coding RNA (447 nucleotides) under Durio zibethinus. Its description in RNAcentral is "long non-coding RNA (DZIB_LNC001546)". Lineage: Eukaryota; Viridiplantae; Streptophyta; Magnoliopsida; Malvales; Malvaceae. The record is from RNAcentral.
UUUGGAUCAUGAGAUCAAAAAACUUAUCUAAAGGUCAUAAUUUCACAAUUAGAAAGGAAGUCAUACCAUUAAUGAAGAUAUCAUCCCACUCUCUGCAAAACUAUUGAAGAGAGCAACGACUACUGCUCGGGAAAAGGAUAUAUUGAAAUUAAAACUUUAUUAGUCAUUUCAAACAUUAAUAAUAACACAAUUACAUCAAAUUAUUUUCAUAUACACUAUUGCAAGCAUUGAUACAAAUGUAGCGACCUGAAAAGGUUAAAAAAAACUUGUAGCGAAAGUUUUGAGGUGCAACAAUCAGCAAAGGUUCCAGUGGUUCUCGAGAAGGCUCAAGGAAAAACCUGAAAUGUGGAACUAGUGGGGAGGAAAUGAGCCACUAAGGUCGCACAGACAAAUGCACCUAAGCUCAUGCCUGAGAGAAUUCCAAACGCAGAUGCAUAAAAGCCUUGC